AACCUCCUGCCUUGUGUCGACCAAUCAGUUCCCUCCAGCCACUCGUGUCUUGUCCAGGUGUUCCUCGUUGUCUCAUCAAUGUGUUUGUAUUUAGUUCCCUGGUUUCUUUCAUUUCUUGUCUGGUCAUUGUCAUUCUGGUAUGUCAUUGUCAGGUAACAUUGGCCCUAUCUGUUCCACGCCUUUCUCACCAGUCAUAGUUUGUUUCCAGUUUUAGGUAUUCAAGUGUAUCUUUGUUACCUGUUGUGGGACUUUGUUUAGUUUUGCUUUAUCCAUGUUCCUUGUUUGCCCUUUUUGGAGAUCAAAUAUUUUUUUGCCUUGCCUUCCUCUCCUUCGACAACCCCAACCAUGACAGAAUGAACAGGAUCCAGCGGGAAUAACAUGACGUCACCCUGCACGCCACCAGUCUGCCUCCCAGCGCCCUCAGCCUGCCAACCUUACCUACCCUCCUCCAGUAACCCCUAUCGUUCAGUCUUCUGUCUUUUUCACCUAUGUCUGCCACUUUUCCUAGUUAUUCCCCAUGCCCUACAAUUUUACUUCCACAUUGUUUUUUAGAUUCAGAUUUUUCUGACUCAGACGGAUUUUGAUUUUUCCGUUUCCUUCCCUAGUUGUCCCCCGUCCUAGUCAGUUUUUGUCACUUUUCCCCUUUUCCGCUGACCUUUACAUGGGCACCCAUUUAGCAAUUUAUCCAGGACCGCCGCGUGGUGGCCAACUGAGGCGCCAAAGUAAAGGUCAAAUUUUGGACUCGUUCUUUUCUCCUGUACCCAAGUCACUUAAUUUUUCACCAGUUCCCACACCUUGUUCCACGCCUCCAAUUACGUCGCAUCCAUCCAAACCUGCCCCCAAGCCACCUCGUUCUGUAACACUUGUUUUUCCUACCUCACCUUCCUGACUUUCUGUGCACUCUGCCCCACUAGUUUCCUCUGCUCCCAAACCGCAAUGGUGGCAGGCUGAGGAAGCGACUGCAGGCCCCGUUCCUGCUCCUCGUCUGCUGCGGCGGUGCUCAUCAAGCGGCCGACCCCUCUGCGGCUCCGCCAGGCUCCAGUUCUGGCUCCUCUGCAGCUGCGCCAGGCUCCCGUCCCGGAUCCGGUGGCACCCGUCCAGCGGCCGCCACCCAUCCCGUCUCUGACGGCGCCCGUCCAGCGGCCGCCGCCCGUCCCAGCUCCGGCGGCCCCCGUCCUUGCUCCAGCGGCACUGGUCCAGCGGCCGCCACCGGUUCCGGCUCCGGCGGCACUCUUCCAGCGGCCGAAAAAGAAGACCCACUUGUGAGCGCACGCGUGUUUGUAUUGACAGCGCUGGCUCAGAGCCGAGAGAAAAUCGUCUGGGACUCAGGAAUGCCGAGGCGAUUUUAUUUCAUAUUGCAUGUUUAAUGAGGCACCAUAGACGAUAUACCCCAAAUACUAGAAAAAGUUGGUUUGGUGAAAUAUGGCACCUGUACCAUUGCCCAUAUCGCUCACUCAAGUGACCAUAUUGUGAAUGAGGUCUUUUAAUAUGACCGAAGUUGCUUAGUCUAAAAAGUAUCAAGUCUUACUUACUUGAACCAUGCAGAUACCGUGCACAGUAUGUUCAUCAUGAUAUGCUGUGGAAUAAGUUUGCUUUUAGUUGUUCAAGCAUGUUUUUUUUUCUCCUGGGCUUGCAAUCUGCUGCGGCGCAAUCAGGGAAUAGUAGCAACAUGCUGUGUUUUUUAAAAAUCAAAAACUCUCCCUAAUGAAGCAGACAAAUAGUCUUUGGGAUGACUCUGUUUGUUGUUAUAUUUAGCUAAAAAUGUAAAACAAACAUGUAGAGAACAAGUUGCAGCUUUGCACUUUAGUGUAACUUUCAUCUGUCAGGCCGAUCAACUGACCAGACACCCCCCCUCCCAGUGGUGUUAACGGCAUUCUCUGGCCGUGUAAAGCUCCCUAACAAGGAACCUGAUUGUUCUGUUAAUGUGUUACUUCCUGUGGGAGUCACUGCUCUGGAAUAGAGUGCAGCGUCCAGUGCCUGGAGUAACUCCUACAUGGGAACGGGCCCAAACCAGGCCAGGCCUCCACAUAGUCGGGCCGGCGGACAUUCACCCCUUCCUAUGAUGAAAGAUAAGAAUUUUCAUUCAAGUUGCCUGUUCAAGAAGAAAAAAAACCAAGAAAAGUUAUCUCCACAUGAAAACGCUUUUUUUUGAGGGGCCAAAAAAAACCAUUAUCAGCUGAGAUACCGCCAUUCCUCAAUAUAGUGUUAGUAGAUAUAAUGGUAAAAAAAAAAAAAUCCAGAAGGGGCAAAAGUACUACUCACACUUUGUACUUCAAUAAAAGUGCAGAUUAAUGAAGUUUUGAAAGACGGUUGUAAAAGUAGAAGCACUGAUUCAACUCAUUUAAGAGAACAAAAGUACAGACUCUGAAAUAUACCUAUAAGGAAUUUUGUAGUGUUCCCCCUGAAUGGGGUUUUCCUCAAGCCAAUGCAAAGAAGUAUUUAAACCUCAAAAAUGGUUCAGCGUGAACAGAGGUGAGGACACAAUAGGAGAGUACGAGACACGAAAAGCGAGACUGUUCGGCAGAGCUUGUGGGCAGCGGGUCAGCUCCUUGGCAGAGAGUGUGGUGUGUUGCCAUGGCAACUUGCCCGUUUCCCCACCCAAGAGUCACUGUGUGCAAGACUCCAUCAGCAGUGUGAGUGUUGUUCAAGAAGCAGUGGAGAUCAGGGCCUUAAUCAGUCAGCAGCGAUACAAGGGUGAAGAGAGGGGCUGGAGCCUGCAGCUAUUUGGAAGUGCAGCAUCACACAAGCACAGGAGCGCGCACACACAUUCACACACACUCACAGCUCUAGCACAAAGAGUGUAUCGAGUAAACUCAUUCGAAGAAAUGUUUUUGUCAUGAGUGAUUCGCUGGAAAUUAGCAACCACAGUGGUACCUCCUAAGGGCAAACUCAAUCUGUUCCGGGACAAUGGUUUAGAGAACAUUCUUCAUUCACUUCUGAUUAAAUGGUACUACAAGUGUAAAAAUAACAACAACUCUUGAUAGUAAAAACAACAAAACAUUCAGUUUGAACUUUAAUAAAGGUGUAAGCCAAACUGCUUUUUAAAAAAAAUAAUAAUAAUAAUAAAAAAUAAUAAUUAAUGGUCACACACACAGCCUUAAAUAAAAGGUGACCACUAAUAUGGUAACUGGAGUCUUACCACUUAGAAUUUUAGUCUACUUAUUUUUUUACUUCCACUGUAUAUUCUUUUCUGUAUUGCAACAAAUGCCUUUUUUUUUUUUUAAAUCUGAUGUUCAUCCUGAUAUUAUUAACAAGUGCCCAUUCUGUGUUAUGCAUGAAAAUUUGAGAUAGCUAAAAAGAAGACAAAUUUGAGUGCCAGCUCUUAAAUCUUUUUAAUCGGGGAAGCCAAGAUGGCUGUUUAUAUUAGUUGAAGAGACAUAUUGCACUCUGGCCCUAAUUUGAAUGGUGUGGCCUUGAGGAAGUGUAACGUGAAGGCGAGGGUGGUGCUGGAGUUUUGCUUCAAGACCACAGAGAACUUGAGAACUUAUUUGGCUGGAUGGAUGUGUAUAUUCUAAUAAGAUCUCUUACGCCAGCCUUUUUUUUUGUUUUGUUUUUCUUGUUCCGUAGCACCUGGGAUUGCUAUGCUACUCUGUGGGGCAUUAUAGUCCACAUAUCAUAUCGUUUUGGGCAUAUCCUUUUGGUGAUUGCCUCUCUCAACACACUCUUAAAACAUUUGAGGCAUUUACAAUUGUAGGUUAAUGUAAUUAAAUACACUAAAUACCUCCCCUGGGUAACGCUUAGUAUGAAGACGAAAUAUAUGAGGAGAAACUUGUCUAAAGAAUCUAUCUUGAAGUUGUGCUAAGAAACUUAAUAACUGACCGACCAUCUGAUUCACACCCUCUCGGUCCAAGACGUGUUUAUUUCCAGCCUGUGAUUGUAUCAAAUUUGUCCCGUUUUGAAUGUCAUGCUUGGCGGAUACGCAGCGCACACGGGUGGUUUAAAGGAGCCAAAAGCACUUUAUUUAUGUUUGGAUGGCAGCGGGCGCUCAGUGCUGCUUGGCACCACCCACAGUGAGCUGUGGUCUUUGGCACCUCUUUGCAUCCCCCCUGUCCCCCAAACAUGCCGGCUAUCCGACUUCACUGGGCCCCGCUGCAACUUGUGGAUGUAUGCAUAUGCACGUGUCUGGAACGCUGCAUGUAUGCUGUGUUUUCUUGUUUUCAUGUGCCGAGCUGUGAUAUUUUCUACCCUGAAGAUUACAUGAAAGCCAACAGAGCUGCACUUUAUUUCAAAGGUUGCUCCUUUAAUCAAGCCCCGAGAAGUUUUACAGCAAUUUAAACUAAUCUCUUGUCCACCAAAGGUCGUGGAAGCUCGCAUCAAAAAUAAUGCAUGAAUUAAGAUGAAUUCAUUCACCACUGGGUAAUCUUUUACUUUUUUUUUUUUUUUCUAUUUGACACUUAUAAGACGUCACAUGAAGGGCUUGACUCGUGUAGCAAUGUAUUGCGCAGUGCACAUUCUAAUCUUCCCUUUGCUGUGCUUAUGCUGCCAGGACCGCCACUGAGUGCAGCCAUUUAACAAAUGGAAAAAAGGUCUGCAUGCAUCUGAAGCCACCUUUUGCAGGUGUUUUUCAAAAGUCGUUAAUUUGUAUAGCCCUUAAUCACAGACGAGUCAAAACAAAAACAAAACGUAUUCCCUCAUUUAAGAAUGAAAUAAACCUCUGUCCAAACCGUCACAUUUUGGACUGUUACUAUGCAUUCAUCUUCCGUUCCGCUUAUCCUCACAAGGGUCGCGGGCGUGCUGGAGCCCAUCCCAGCUAUCUUCGGGCGAGAGGCGGGGUACACCCUGAACUGGUCGCCAGCCAAUCGCAGGGCAGGACUGUUACUAGUCCACAUUAAAACAAUAUUCACAAUGAGAUGAAUACCACAACAACAGGUGGUCCAAUAAACCAUACAGCCAUUUUAGCCAUUCAGACGCCCCAAGCAAGUUAUUUCUACGAAAAAAACCCACAAUAACAAUUUAUGAAUAGGUGUGCAAAUAGUGAAAAAGAGUUGCUCAUCUAUAUCAUCUUAAAUGCAGUGGAACCUCCAACAUCAAACACAAUACAAGUGGUGAGCAUGUUUGCCUCACAGUCCAAGGCACUGACUUGUAAUAUUCGUUCCGGCCUCCCUGUGUUGAGCAUGUCCACAAUUUAAAAACAUGCACGUAAGGUCACUGGAAGACGACAUGUUCAUGGUUGUCUAUAUGUGCCCUACGAUUGACCGGUAACCAGUCCAGGGUGUACCAUGCCUCUCGCCCAAAUUAUGUGAUCAUACAUUGAAUGUGCUCUAAUCUUAAUAAAAAAAAUUAAUACAAAUGUGAGCGCUCUUUAGAGCAAAGCAUGGUACACAUCAGGUAAUGCUUAUUGGGAGAGGACAAUUCUAACCUUGUGACUUUUUGAAUGGCCACAGCAGCGUUAAUCAACUCCCAUUGCUUGGGCUCCAGGUUGGCUCACACCUGACU
Long non-coding RNA from Phyllopteryx taeniolatus (common seadragon), 5436 nucleotides. RefSeq lists it as uncharacterized. The transcript is spliced from 3 exons. The record is from RefSeq and is a predicted model, not a curated record. Lineage: Eukaryota; Metazoa; Chordata; Actinopteri; Syngnathiformes; Syngnathidae.